Molecule: long non-coding RNA, 332 nt
Organism: Apis laboriosa (Himalayan honeybee)
Lineage: Eukaryota; Metazoa; Arthropoda; Insecta; Hymenoptera; Apidae
Exons: 2
Source: RefSeq, a predicted model, not a curated record
AUUACUUUUCAUUCACAGUAACUUUAUACUAUAUCUUGUAGUACAUUAGAAAUUACUUUAAGUUUGCAGUUAAAUGUUCCAAUUUCAUAUUAAUUACCUUGCUAGACACAAUUGGAACAAGUGAAGAUUUAUCUUUACAAAAAUAGGAAUUACAAUGGCAGGUUUUAUAAAAUUAGUAAAAAAUGUUUAUUAUGAUCCUUUUAAGUGGUCAGUAGUUAAAAGCAUUGGAUUAUUUGUAUUAGGUGUAAAAAUUGCUGUUGAAUGUAAAGGAAUGAAUGUAAUGCCACCAAUUUCUUAGAAAUUAAAAUGUAGGAGCUAAAAAAAAAAAAAAA